CCAAACAAGGGCAGAGCUCGUCCUGCAGCCUGCUGCUGUGCAGGAGGGCUUAAGAGGUGCUUGUGCCGCUCUCUAUGUUGGUGCUGAGAUGAUUGACUCAUUGCUGUACUUUGUUUUUAGGCACAUGCUCAGAUGGCCCUCAGCCGUUGAGCCAGAGGUCUGCUGUGAGUUCUUUCAGCCUCCCAGCCUGAGACAGUUUUGUGGUCGCUCAUCCGAUUGAGCCAGGAGUGCUGCUCGCUGUCUUCCUGUGCCAGGCUGAGGGAGGAAGGUGGGAGAAAGGAAGAAAGAAAGGAAGAGGAGGGAGCGCACCAUCCCAAUGGCUUUGCUGGGAAGGAAGCCUGGCUCCAGUUUAACAUCUGCCUGCAGCAGAGCAGCAACUGGCCACAGCACGUCCAUCUCAGGCAGGGGCUUGGGGAAGCAGCCAGGAGAGGGCAAGGAGCGAGAGAUGGGAGUGCAGGGAGCCCGUGGCCUUUGCAGAGGUGGCCGUGUAUUUCAGCAGGGAGGAGUGGGCGCUGCUGGACCCUGCGCAGCGAGCGCUGUACCGGGCUGUGAUGCUGGAGACGUAGCAGUGCGUGGCCUC
Meleagris gallopavo (turkey) is the source of this 580-nucleotide non-coding RNA. Lineage: Eukaryota; Metazoa; Chordata; Aves; Galliformes; Phasianidae. The record is from RefSeq and is a predicted model, not a curated record.